UUGGAGGGCAAGUCUGGUGCCAGCAGCCGCGGUAAUUCCAGCUCCAAUAGCGUAUAUUAAAGUUGUUGCAGUUAAAAAGCUCGUAGUUGAAUUUCGGGGUUUAUCCGUUGGUCGGGCUUUUGGGUCUGUACUGGCGUGAUGAAUUCCUACCUUCUGAAUAACCAGCAUGUCAUUAAUUUGGUGCGCCGGGGAAGCAGGACUGUUACCUUGAAAAAAUUAGAGUGCUUAAAGCAGGCUAUUGCCUGAAUACAUUAGCAUGGAAUAAUGAAAUAGGACGGCAUGGUUCUAUUUUGUUGGUUUCUAGGAUCACCGUAAUGAUUAAUAGGGAUAGUUGGGGGCAUUAGUAUUCAAUUGUCAGAGGUGAAAUUCUUGGAUUUAUUGAAGACUAACUUCUGCGAAAGCAUUUGCCAAGGAUGUUUUCAUUAAUCAAGAACGAAAGUUAGGGGAUCGAAGACGAUCAGAUACCGUCGUAGUCUUAACCAUAAACCAUGCCGACUAGGGAUCGGACGAUGUUAAUUUUUUAAUGACUCGUUCGGCGCCUUACGGGAAAC
RNAcentral lists this ribosomal RNA (551 nucleotides) under uncultured Glomeromycotina. RNAcentral's name for it is "SSU rRNA". It matches the Rfam family "Eukaryotic small subunit ribosomal RNA", at positions 548 to 1098 of the family's 1831-position model. Lineage: Eukaryota; Fungi; Glomeromycota. The record is from RNAcentral.